AUGGGACAGUCUCAAACUCCAUGUUCCCCCAGACCCAGGGCCCAUCCUGGCACCCAGCCCACAGUGGGCCCUGAGGAAGCAUGGACCUCCGGGGUAGCCAGAAUCCAUUCCUUCCCAUGUCAAGCCCUGUGCUGGGCCCACCCAGCCUCUUCUGUCCUGGGGAAAUCACCCCAGGGCUGGGGACCUGGCCCCAGGGCCCUCAUGGGAUGUUGUCACCAGGACCAAAAGCUGGGAGACCCAGAGCCAGAGAAUUAGGCUGAGAAUUGGGAGACAGAGCCUUCUUGGGACAGGUGACCUGUGAGUUGGGCCUUGCCAGAUGAGCAGCAGAGGAGGGGCCUUGUACCAGCUGCCGUAUUCCCCAUAGGGGGCGCUGUCCCGGCGCUUAUCCUGGAGGAAAGAAUGGUCACAAGAAAGAUGAGCAGAACAGACCCUUGCACCUCAGGCCACAGCCCAAGACAUGUGCUAGGCCUGAAUGAUGGGCCAGGCUCCGAGGGACUCAGGAGCAGAUGACUGACCAUCCGGGGCCAGAGGUGGUUUCCCAGAGUGGGAGACACUGGGGCAGGCCCUCAAGGACUGCCAGGUUGUUUAGUGUCGCAGCCACCUGGAGGUGGGAGAACGGAAGCUUCUUGACUCAGGCCCUGCAGGACUCUGGGACCUGCAGGGGAUGGGGCACAGCCCCCACCUCCCACCCAACCCUCACUCACGGCUGGGUGGUCCUUGCCCAGUGUUUUCUCCCGGAUGGCCAGAGCAUCAUUGAGCAGGCCUCCUUGCUGGGCAACAGUGACCAUGGUAGGAGCUCACGUUAGGGGAGGCGUCUUCAUCCAACUUGCGGAUCUGGCUCAUGAACAGCAAGUGCUGCUUCUCCUCCUCGAGCUGGGCCACGGCCUGCUCACUGCGCUGCAGCUUCUGCUGUGUCCCCGCCAGCUCCUCACGCAGCCACUGGUUCUCCUGCACCAGACGCCGCACCUGCGCCCGCAGCUUCUGCUUCUCUGAUUCUACAGCCCCCAGGUGGCUCGACAAUGCCAAGAUCACCUGUGCAACCAGCCCAGGUCUUGCUGGACCUACCUCCAGAACAUCCAGAACUGGUCCCUUUUCUCCACCGUCAUAGCCACCCCUUAAUUCCAAGCACCAGCUCUCAUUUGAAUUCCAGCAGUGGCUUCCUAACCACUCAUUGGAGAGUGAUUCCAUCCUCGACCCACUGAGGUUUAUUCUCCACAUCUCAGCCAGAGAGAGUUUUUAGAAACUCAAGUCAGACUGUGUUGCCUGCCUGCUUAAAGCCCUCCAGAGGCUUUCUGAUUUCCUGAGAAUAAAACCCAAACCAACCAGGCCAUGAUCUGGUUCUUGG
RNAcentral lists this long non-coding RNA (1345 nucleotides) under Homo sapiens (human). Its description in RNAcentral is "HSALNT0363372". The record is from RNAcentral. Lineage: Eukaryota; Metazoa; Chordata; Mammalia; Primates; Hominidae.